GAUUAACGCUGGCGGCGUGCAUAACACAUGCAAGUCGAACGAUGAAACUUAAAUGAUUUCUUCGGAAUGAACUUAAGUGGAUUAGUGGCGGACGGGUGAGUAACGCGUGAGUAACCUGCCUUACACAAGGGGAUAGCCGUUGGAAACGACGAAUAAUACCCUAUGAAACUAUCACUUCGCAUGAAGCGAUAGUCAAAGUGUUAGCGGUGUAAGAUGGACUUGCGUCUGAUUAGCUAGUUGGUGAGAAAAAAGCCCACCAAGGUAACGAUCAGUAGCCGGCUUGAGAGAGUGUACGGCCACAUUGGGACUGAGACACGGCCCAGACUCCUACGGGAGGCAGCAGUGGGGAAUUUUGCACAAUGGGGGAAACCCUGAUGCAGCGACGCCGCGUGAUUGAGAAGGCCUUCGGGUUGUAAAAAUCUUUUGUAUAGGAAGAAAAUGACAGUACUAUACGAAUAAGGUCCGGCUAAUUACGUG
This 477-nucleotide ribosomal RNA is filed under the name uncultured bacterium. RNAcentral describes it as "partial 16S ribosomal RNA". It matches the Rfam family "Bacterial small subunit ribosomal RNA", at positions 28 to 507 of the family's 1533-position model. The record is from RNAcentral.